Long non-coding RNA from Patella vulgata (common limpet), 1124 nucleotides. RefSeq lists it as uncharacterized. The transcript has 6 exons. NCBI's taxonomy places the organism in Eukaryota, Metazoa, Mollusca, Gastropoda, Patellidae. The record is from RefSeq and is a predicted model, not a curated record.
UAUUUAGUAUUUCAAUAGUAAAUGUGUUUAGUUGUGUAUUUAGAAAUAUGGUUUUUUUCAAAAUGUAGAAAGAUAAAAUGUUUGUUUUAUUUAAGAUAUUCAUACACACGCCCAGGACUAGUUUUCACAGAUUGAAUAAAGGCAUACUUGUUGCUCCUGGUACAUCAACCUCGAUCACCAUGAAUACACACGAAUAUAGCUUUCUGCCACACCCCCACAUGAUAGCCGAAGAUGAAUAUUGUAUAGACACGAAUGAAGAUUACGAUAGAUUGUCAUGUCGUGUAUUGUGGAUAUUAGAUAGAAUAGAAGAAAUAUGUAAUUGCACUUAUGGCAACGUUUCAGCUACUAACGUUGGACUCUGUGAUGCCCAAGAAAUGGUUACAUGUUUUAACCCACAGUUUGGAAAAUAUUUCACUGUGUCUGAGAAUGCAAGUCUUACAAAGUGUCUACGACCCUGCAGAUUUGUCAUUUACGACACUAAAACCAGUUUUUCUUACUUUCCGUCGGACUCCUUGUCACGCUAUUUGGUCAAAAAAGGGAUAAUAGAUUCUGUCGACUAUGCAAGGCGAAACCUAUUAGAAUUGUAUAUAAACUUUGAGAACUUGGUUGUAUGGAAAACAGAAAGUAUCGCUGAAUAUAAUACAAUGUCAAUUUUAGGUAAUCUUGGAGGACAUAUGGGUUUAUUUGUGGGAGCAAGUAUGAUUACGGUUGUUGAACUACUGGAAACAUUGGUUUUCUUCUUUAUUGCCUUUGCUGCCCGAAUGGGUCGUCCAAGGGCCGUUGAACCAGCAGUACUUGAUACAACGAGUAUGGACAAAAAAGACGAAAAUCUUUCAUAAAUUACAUAAUUAUAAUACACGAGAUGUGUCCCUAUUAAUUAAUAUUUAUGUUUGAAAUGAAAUGGCAUAUCACUCAACAAGUUUCAGCAAAGCAAGUGUGUUUCAAAUGUUUUCUAUCCUUUUAUAGUUUUAUAUUCACGUUCAUCUUUUGCAUGUUCAUGGAAACUGAUUUAACGAUUAAGAUUAUUACAUUUAAAUAUUGUAUAUGAAUAAUAAUAAUAAUAAUAAUAAUAAUAACUUUAUUUAAUGAGGCAACUUAUUUAGUUUGCAAAAAAACUAAUCUUU